UACGAAGGGGGCUAGCGUUGCUCGGAAUCACUGGGCGUAAAGCGCACGUAGGCGGACUUUUAAGUCGGAGGUGAAAUCCUGGAGCUCAACUCCAGAACUGCCUUCGAUACUGAGAGUCUUCGAGUUCGGGAGAGGUGAGUGGAACUGCGAGUGUAGAGGUGAAAUUCGUAGAUAUUAGGAAGAACACCGGUGGCGAAGGCGGCCCACUGGAUCGGUACUGACGCUGAGGUGCGAAAGCGUGGGGAGCAAACAGG
This 254-nucleotide ribosomal RNA is filed under the name uncultured bacterium. RNAcentral's name for it is "partial 16S ribosomal RNA". It matches the Rfam family "Bacterial small subunit ribosomal RNA", at positions 524 to 776 of the family's 1533-position model. The record is from RNAcentral.